CUGAUUAGAUAGAGUACUGUAGAGGAAGGCGGAAUUCUUGGAGUAGCGGUGGAAUGCGCAGAUAUCAAGAAGAACACCAAAAGCGAAGGCAGCCUUCUAGGCAGAUACUGACACUCAGGAGCGAAGGUGUGGGUAGCGAACAGGAUUAGAUACCCUGGUAGUCCACACAGUCAACGAUGAUCACUAAGUUUUGGUGAGAUUAUAAAUUAUCAGAGCUGCCGCAAAUGCAUUAAGUGAUCCGCCUGGGGAGUACGUCCGCAAGGAUGAAACUCAAAGGAAUUGACGGGGACCCGCACAAGCGGUGGAGUAUGUUCUUUAAUUCGAUGCAACGCGAAGAACCUUACCUGGGCUUGACAUCACCGAAAUCACCUUUAUACGGUGAGUGCCUCGAUUUAUCGAGGAAUCGUGUGACAGGUGCUGCAUGGCUGUCGUCAGUUCGUGUCGUGAGAUGUUGGGUUAAGUCCCGCAACGAACGCAACCCCUGUCUUUAGUUACCAGCAUUAAGUUGGGGACUCUAGAGAGACUGCCAAGGUGACAACUUGGAGGAAGGUGGGGACGACGUCAAGUCAUCAUGGUCCUUACGUCCAGGGCUAGAAACGUACUACAAUGGUUGGCACAGAGGGCAGCAACACAGCGAUGUGAAGCAAAUCCUUAAAACCAACCUCAGUUCGGAUUGGAGUCCGC
Molecule: ribosomal RNA, 684 nt
Filed under: uncultured bacterium
Lineage: Bacteria
Description: bacterial SSU rRNA
Rfam family: Bacterial small subunit ribosomal RNA
Source: RNAcentral